UACGUAGGUGGCAAGCGUUACUCGGAAUCACUAGGCGUAAAGCGCAGGUAGGCGGUUUGAUAAGUCUGUUGUGAAAGCUCCCGGCUCAACUGGGAGAGGUCAACGGAAACUGUCAGGCUAGAGUGUGGUAGAGGUAGCUGGAAUUCCUGGUGUAGCGGUGAAAUGCGUAGAUAUCGGGAGGAAUACCUAUGGCGAAAGCAGGCUACUGGACCAUCACUGACGCUGAUCUGCGAAAGCUAGGGGAGCAAACAGG
This 253-nucleotide ribosomal RNA is filed under the name uncultured bacterium. Its description in RNAcentral is "partial 16S ribosomal RNA". It matches the Rfam family "Bacterial small subunit ribosomal RNA", at positions 524 to 776 of the family's 1533-position model. The record is from RNAcentral.